AACACAUGAUCAACUUACCCUAUUGAGAAAGAUAACCUCGGGAAACUGAGGAUAAUAUUUCAUAGUUGAAUUGGCUUGGAAAAGUUUUUCAACAAAAGGGAUAGGGAAAAUGGUCUCUAUCCGCUAUAGGAUAGGAUCGUGUUCGAUUAUGGUAGUUGGUGAGGUAAAGGCUCACCAAGCCGAUAAUCGAUAGGGGCCGUGAGAGCGGGAGCCCCGAGAUGGGUACUGAGACAACGACCCAGGCCUUACGAGGCGCAGCAGGUACGAAACCUCCACAAUACACGAAAGUGUGAUGGGGUUACCCAAAGUGUUCAUUAUUGAACUGUGGUAGGAGAGUAAUGUCCCCUACUAGAAAGGAGAGGGCAAGGCUGGUGCCAGCCGCCGCGGUAAAACCAGCUCUUCAAGUGGUCGGGAUAAUUAUUGGGCUUAAAGUGUCCGUAGCCGGUUUAGUAAGUUCCUGGUAAAAUCGGGUAGCUUAACUAUCUGUAUGCUAGGAAUACUACUAUACUAGAGGGCGGGAGAGGUCUGAGGUACUACAGGGGUAGGGGUGAAAUCUUAUAAUCCUUG
RNAcentral lists this ribosomal RNA (567 nucleotides) under uncultured archaeon. Its description in RNAcentral is "bacterial SSU rRNA". It matches the Rfam family "Archaeal small subunit ribosomal RNA", at positions 95 to 651 of the family's 1478-position model. The record is from RNAcentral.